Molecule: ribosomal RNA, 1244 nt
Filed under: metagenome
Description: bacterial LSU rRNA
Rfam family: Bacterial large subunit ribosomal RNA
Source: RNAcentral
UGAAUACGAGAUGCUACGGCGUCGAAGCAGUGUAUGUCAGACUUCCAAGAAAAGCUCGCAAUGUCAUAAAUAAAGAAUGCCUGUACCAUAACCGACACAGGUGGGUAGGUAGAGUAUACUAAGGGGCGCGAGAUAACUCUCUCUAAGGAACUCGGCAAAAUAACUCCGUAACUUCGGGAGAAGGAGUGCCUUCUUGAAGAAGGUUGCAAUAACAAGAUCCAAGCAACUGUUUAUCAAAAACACAGGUCUCCGCUAAGUCGAAAGACGAUGUAUGGGGGCUGACGCCUGCCCAGUGCCAGAAGGUUAAAGAAGCUGGUUAGCAAUAGCGAAGCUGGUGACUGAAGCCCUGGUGAACGGCGGCCGUAACAAUAACGGUCCUAAGGUAGCGAAAUUCCUUGUCGGGUAAGUUCCGACCCGCACGAAAGGCGUAAUGAUUUGGAUACUGUCUCGGAGAGGGACUCGGUGAAAUAGACUUGUCUGUGAAGAUGCGGACUACCUGCACCAGGACAGAAAGACCCUAUGAAGCUUUACUGUAACUUGAAAUUGAAAUUGGACUUUAUUUGCGCAGUAUAGGUGGAAGGCGUUGAGAUUACUCUUGCGGGAUUAGUGGAGCCAUCAGUGAGAUACCACUCCUAUAAUGUUAGAUUUCUAACUUUGGAUCAUAAUCUGGUCAAAGAACAGUUUCAGGCGGGCAGUUUGACUGGGGCGGUCGCCUCCCAAAUGGUAACGGAGGCGUACAAAGGUUUCCUCUGAACGGGUAGAAAUCGUAUCUAGAGUGUAAAGGCAUAAGGAAGCUUGACUGUGAGACCUACAAGUCGAGCAGGGACGAAAGUCGGUCUUAGUGAUCUGACGGUGCUGAGUGGAAAGGCCGUCACUCAACGGAUAAAAGUUACUCUAGGAUAACAGGCUGAUCUCCCCCAAGAGUUCACAUCGACGGGGAGGUUUGGCACCUCGAUGUCGGCUCAUCGCAUCCUGGGGCGGUAGUACGUCCCAAGGGUUGGGCUGUUCGCCCAUGAAAGCGGUACGCGAGCUGGGUUCAGAACGUCGUGAGACAGUUCGGUCCAUAUCCGGUGUAGGCGUUAGAAUAUUGAGAGGAGCCUUCUUUAGUACGAGAGGACCGAGAAGGACAUACCUCUGGUGUACCAGUUAUCGUGCCAACGGUAAACGCUGGGUAGCUAUGUAUGGAGAGGAUAACCGCUGAAAGCAUCUAAGUGGGAAGCCCACCUCAAGAUGAGUAUUCUCAU